UCUCCGUUGGUGAACCAGCGGAGGGAUCAUUACAGGAUGCGCAAGACUUCUACAACCCUGUGAACUUAACUAUAACCACGUUGCUUCGGCGGGUGUCUCGGAGGCGGUUCCCCCUCCCCUAGACGCUAAACCCGCCGGCAGCCUACCAUACUCUGAAUCUUUGCGUUGGAAUCUCGAGUACAAUCAAACAAGUAAAAAUUUUCAACAACGGAUCUCUUGGUUCUG
Molecule: unclassified non-coding RNA, 225 nt
Filed under: plant metagenome
Description: partial contains small subunit ribosomal RNA, internal transcribed spacer 1, and 5.8S ribosomal RNA
Source: RNAcentral